Molecule: small nuclear RNA, 113 nt
Filed under: Castor canadensis (American beaver)
Lineage: Eukaryota; Metazoa; Chordata; Mammalia; Rodentia; Castoridae
Source: RNAcentral
GCUUCACUUUCAGCAGGCAGCAUAUACUAAAAUUGGAACGAACAAGAGAAGAUUACGCAAUGGCCCGCGCAAGAAUGACCAUUGCAUAAUUCCGUGAAGCCGUUCCAUAUUAA